GAGGGUAUAGCUCAGUGGUAGAGUGCAUGGCCAGCAUACACGAGGGCCUGGGUUCAAUCCCCAGCACCUCCA
This 72-nucleotide transfer RNA is filed under the name Camelus bactrianus (Bactrian camel). It matches the Rfam family "tRNA". Rfam says of the family: Transfer RNA (tRNA) molecules are approximately 80 nucleotides in length. Lineage: Eukaryota; Metazoa; Chordata; Mammalia; Artiodactyla; Camelidae. The record is from Rfam by way of RNAcentral. RNAcentral also lists the same sequence under 1 other name.